CGGACGGGUGAGUAACACGUGGGAACGUGCCCUUUGGUACGGAAUAACUCAGGGAAACUUGAGCUAAUACCGUAUGUGCCCUUCGGGGGAAAGAUUUAUCGCCAUUGGAGCGGCCCGCGUCUGAUUAGCUAGUUGGUGAGGUAAAGGCUCACCAAGGCGACGAUCAGUAGCUGGUCUGAGAGGAUGAUCAGCCACAUUGGGACUGAGACACGGCCCAAACUCCUACGGGAGGCAGCAGUGGGGAAUCUUGCGCAAUGGGCGAAAGCCUGACGCAGCCAUGCCGCGUGAAUGAUGAAGGUCUUAGGAUUGUAAAAUUCUUUCACCGGGGACGAUAAUGACGGUACCCGGAGAAGAAGCCCCGGCUAACUUCGUGCCAGCAGCCGCGGUAAUACGAAGGGGGCUAGCGUUGCUCGGAAUUACUGGGCGUAAAGGGAGCGUAGGCGGACAUUUAAGUCAGGGGUGAAAUCCCGGGGCUCAACCUCGGAAUUGCCUUUGAUACUGGGUGUCUUGAGUAUGAGAGAGGUGUGUGGAACUCCGAGUGUAGAGGUGAAAUUCGUAGAUAUUCGGAAGAACACCAGUGGCGAA
This 585-nucleotide ribosomal RNA is filed under the name Caulobacter sp. KIN137. RNAcentral describes it as "bacterial SSU rRNA". It matches the Rfam family "Bacterial small subunit ribosomal RNA", at positions 99 to 719 of the family's 1533-position model. The record is from RNAcentral. Lineage: Bacteria; Pseudomonadati; Pseudomonadota; Alphaproteobacteria; Caulobacterales; Caulobacteraceae.